RNAcentral lists this ribosomal RNA (2081 nucleotides) under Streptococcus pneumoniae GA13338. RNAcentral describes it as "bacterial LSU rRNA". It matches the Rfam family "Bacterial large subunit ribosomal RNA", at positions 14 to 2116 of the family's 2925-position model. Lineage: Bacteria; Bacillati; Bacillota; Bacilli; Lactobacillales; Streptococcaceae. The record is from RNAcentral.
AGGGCGCACGGUGGAUGCCUUGGCACUAGGAGCCGACGAAGGACGUGACAAACGACGAUAUGCCUUGGGUAGCUGUAAGUAAGCGAUGAUCCAGGGAUUUCCGAAUGGGGGAACCCAACAGGUAGUACCUGUUACCCACAUCUGUUAAGGAUGUGAGGAGGAAGACGCAGUGAACUGAAACAUCUAAGUAGCUGCAGGAAGAGAAAGCAAAAGCGAUUGCCUUAGUAGCGGCGAGCGAAACGGCAGAAGGGCAAACCGAAGAGUUUACUCUUCGGGGUUGUAGGACUGCAAUGUGGACUCAAAGAUUAUAGAAGAAUGAUUUGGGAAGAUCAGCCAAAGAGAGUAAUAGCCUCGUAUUUUAAAUAGUCUUUGUACCUAGCAGUAUCCUGAGUACGGCGGGACACGUGAAAUCCCGUCGGAAUCUGGGAGGACCAUCUCCCAACCCUAAAUACUCCCUAGUGACCGAUAGUGAACCAGUACCGUGAGGGAAAGGUGAAAAGCACCCCGGGAGGGGAGUGAAAUAGAACCUGAAAACCGUGUGCCUACAACAAGUUCGAGCCCGUUAAUGGGGUGAGAGCGUGCCUUUUGUAGAAUGAACCGGCGAGUUACGUUAUGAUGCGAGGUUAAGUUGAAGAGACGGAGCCGUAGGGAAACCGAGUCUGAAUAGGGCGCCUUAGUAUCAUGACGUAGACCCGAAACCAUGUGACCUACCCAUGAGCAGGUUGAAGGUGCGGUAAGACGCACUGGAGGACCGAACCAGGGCACGUUGAAAAGUGCUUGGAUGACUUGUGGGUAGCGGAGAAAUUCCAAACGAACUUGGAGAUAGCUGGUUCUCUCCGAAAUAGCUUUAGGGCUAGCGUCGACAUUAGAGAUUCUUGGAGGUAGAGCACUGUUUGGGUGAGGGGUCCAUCCCGGAUUACCAAUCUCAGAUAAACUCCGAAUGCCAAUGAAUUAUGGUCGGCAGUCAGACUGCGAGUGCUAAGAUCCGUAGUCGAAAGGGAAACAGCCCAGACCACCAGCUAAGGUCCCAAAAUAAUUGUUAAGUGGAAAAGGAUGUGGGGUUGCACAGACAACUAGGAUGUUAGCUUAGAAGCAGCUAUUCAUUCAAAGAGUGCGUAAUAGCUCACUAGUCGAGUGACCCUGCGCCGAAAAUGUACCGGGGCUAAAACAAUUUACCGAAGCUGUGGAUACCUUUAUAGGUAUGGUAGGAGAGCGUUCUAUGUGUGAUGAAGGUAUACCGUGAGGAGUGCUGGAACGCAUAGAAGUGAGAAUGCCGGUAUGAGUAGCGAAAGACAGGUGAGAAUCCUGUCCACCGUAAGACUAAGGUUUCCAGGGGAAGGCUCGUCCGCCCUGGGUUAGUCGGGACCUAAGGAGAGACCGAAAGGUGUAUCCGAUGGACAACAGGUUGAUAUUCCUGUACUAGAGUAUGUAGUGAUGGAGGGACGCAGUAGGCUAACUAAAGCAGACGAUUGGGAGAGUCUGUCUAAGCAGUGAGGUGUGAACUGAGUCAAAUGCUUAAUUCUAUAACAUUGAGCUGUGAUGGGGAGCGAAGUUUAGUAGCGAAGUUAGUGACGUCACACUGCCAAGAAAAGCUUCUAGCGUUUAAAUAUACUCUACCCGUACCGCAAACCGACACAGGUAGUCGAGGCGAGUAGCCUCAGGUGAGCGAGAGAACUCUCGUUAAGGAACUCGGCAAAAUGACCCCGUAACUUCGGGAGAAGGGGUGCUGACUUUAAGUCAGCCGCAGUGAAUAGGCCCAAGCAACUGUUUAUCAAAAACACAGCUCUCUGCUAAAUCGUAAGAUGAUGUAUAGGGGGUGACGCCUGCCCGGUGCUGGAAGGUUAAGAGGAGUGCUUAGCGUAAGCGAAGGUAUGAAUUGAAGCCCCAGUAAACGGCGGCCGUAACUAUAACGGUCCUAAGGUAGCGAAAUUCCUUGUCGGGUAAGUUCCGACCCGCACGAAAGGCGUAAUGAUUUGGGCACUGUCUCAACGAGAGACUCGGUGAAAUUUUAGUACCUGUGAAGAUGCAGGUUACCCGCGACAGGACGGAAAGACCCCAUGGAGCUUUACUGCAGUUUGAUA